CGGCCGUUGCGACGAGCUGCAUUGCUGAUUCUUCGCUUGAGACUGGCAAUUGUCGAGCGGGUUGCAUCCGUUGUUACGUUGCCCGAAGACAGUAGUAAAUGUGAUUUGCAGGGUGCAAGCAACGUGUCAUUGUGGUUAGAAAAAAUGAAUCAGUAUACAUGUGAUUUAACUGUCAAAGCCGGAAUGUUUAAAGCAUACAUCCCGCCCAAGGCAUGCUGGGAUGAUCUCCUAUCAGGCAGCUUGGAAACUUCCAGACGUCGAUAUGCCUUACGUUCGGUGCAGCCGAGGUUAUGAACUUUCAAGUGGAAUAUGCCCCUUGAG
Rhipicephalus sanguineus (brown dog tick) is the source of this 321-nucleotide long non-coding RNA. RefSeq lists it as uncharacterized. Lineage: Eukaryota; Metazoa; Arthropoda; Arachnida; Ixodida; Ixodidae. The record is from RefSeq and is a predicted model, not a curated record. The transcript has 3 exons.